AUACUGUUGAAGAGUCCCAAACUAGGACGAAACAGCUGUCGAGUAC
This 46-nucleotide non-coding RNA is filed under the name Trichobilharzia regenti. Lineage: Eukaryota; Metazoa; Platyhelminthes; Trematoda; Strigeidida; Schistosomatidae. The record is from RNAcentral.